RNAcentral lists this transfer RNA (63 nucleotides) under Gyna caffrorum. Its description in RNAcentral is "tRNA-Asp". Lineage: Eukaryota; Metazoa; Arthropoda; Insecta; Blattodea; Blaberidae. The record is from RNAcentral.
GAAGAUUUAGUUAAUUAAUAACAUUAGCUUGUCAAACUAAAAUUAUCUAUAAGAUAUUCUUCU